This 429-nucleotide ribosomal RNA is filed under the name Gemmatimonadota bacterium. Its description in RNAcentral is "Gemmatimonadetes bacterium partial 16S ribosomal RNA". It matches the Rfam family "Bacterial small subunit ribosomal RNA", at positions 355 to 776 of the family's 1533-position model. The record is from RNAcentral. Lineage: Bacteria; Pseudomonadati; Gemmatimonadota.
UAGGGAAUCUUCGGCAAUGGACGAAAGUCUGACCGAGCAACGCCGCGUGAGUGAAGAAGGUUUUCGGAUCGUAAAACUCUGUUGUUAGAGAAGAACAAGGACGUUAGUAACUGAACGUCCCCUGACGGUAUCUAACCAGAAAGCCACGGCUAACUACGUGCCAGCAGCCGCGGUAAUACGUAGGUGGCAAGCGUUGUCCGGAUUUAUUGGGCGUAAAGCGAGCGCAGGCGGUUUCUUAAGUCUGAUGUGAAAGCCCCCGGCUCAACCGGGGAGGGUCAUUGGAAACUGGGAGACUUGAGGGCAGAAGAGGAGAGUGGAAUUCCAUGUGUAGCGGUGAAAUGCGUAGAUAUAUGGGGGAACACCAGUGGCGAAGGCGGCUCUCUGGUCUGUAACUGACGCUGAGGCUCGAAAGCGUGGGGAGCAAACAGG